Molecule: ribosomal RNA, 2350 nt
Filed under: Escherichia coli
Lineage: Bacteria; Pseudomonadati; Pseudomonadota; Gammaproteobacteria; Enterobacterales; Enterobacteriaceae
Description: partial 23S ribosomal RNA
Rfam family: Bacterial large subunit ribosomal RNA
Source: RNAcentral
UGUAUAAUGGGUCAGCGACUUAUAUUCUGUAGCAAGGUUAACCGAAUAGGGGAGCCGAAGGGAAACCGAGUCUUAACUGGGCGUUAAGUUGCAGGGUAUAGACCCGAAACCCGGUGAUCUAGCCAUGGGCAGGUUGAAGGUUGGGUAACACUAACUGGAGGACCGAACCGACUAAUGUUGAAAAAUUAGCGGAUGACUUGUGGCUGGGGGUGAAAGGCCAAUCAAACCGGGAGAUAGCUGGUUCUCCCCGAAAGCUAUUUAGGUAGCGCCUCGUGAAUUCAUCUCCGGGGGUAGAGCACUGUUUCGGCAAGGGGGUCAUCCCGACUUACCAACCCGAUGCAAACUGCGAAUACCGGAGAAUGUUAUCACGGGAGACACACGGCGGGUGCUAACGUCCGUCGUGAAGAGGGAAACAACCCAGACCGCCAGCUAAGGUCCCAAAGUCAUGGUUAAGUGGGAAACGAUGUGGGAAGGCCCAGACAGCCAGGAUGUUGGCUUAGAAGCAGCCAUCAUUUAAAGAAAGCGUAAUAGCUCACUGGUCGAGUCGGCCUGCGCGGAAGAUGUAACGGGGCUAAACCAUGCACCGAAGCUGCGGCAGCGACGCUUAUGCGUUGUUGGGUAGGGGAGCGUUCUGUAAGCCUGUGAAGGUGUGCUGUGAGGCAUGCUGGAGGUAUCAGAAGUGCGAAUGCUGACAUAAGUAACGAUAAAGCGGGUGAAAAGCCCGCUCGCCGGAAGACCAAGGGUUCCUGUCCAACGUUAAUCGGGGCAGGGUGAGUCGACCCCUAAGGCGAGGCCGAAAGGCGUAGUCGAUGGGAAACAGGUUAAUAUUCCUGUACUUGGUGUUACUGCGAAGGGGGGACGGAGAAGGCUAUGUUGGCCGGGCGACGGUUGUCCCGGUUUAAGCGUGUAGGCUGGUUUUCCAGGCAAAUCCGGAAAACCAAGGCUGAGGCGUGAUGACGAGGCACUACGGUGCUGAAGCGACAAAUGCCCUGCUUCCAGGAAAAGCCUCUAAGCAUCAGGUAACAUCAAAUCGUACCCCAAACCGACACAGGUGGUCAGGUAGAGAAUACCAAGGCGCUUGAGAGAACUCGGGUGAAGGAACUAGGCAAAAUGGUGCCGUAACUUCGGGAGAAGGCACGCUGAUAUGUAGGUGAAGCGACUUGCUCGUGGAGCUGAAAUCAGUCGAAGAUACCAGCUGGCUGCAACUGUUUAUUAAAAACACAGCACUGUGCAAACACGAAAGUGGACGUAUACGGUGUGACGCCUGCCCGGUGCCGGAAGGUUAAUUGAUGGGGUUAGCGGUAACGCGAAGCUCUUGAUCGAAGCCCCGGUAAACGGCGGCCGUAACUAUAACGGUCCUAAGGUAGCGAAAUUCCUUGUCGGGUAAGUUCCGACCUGCACGAAUGGCGUAAUGAUGGCCAGGCUGUCUCCACCCGAGACUCAGUGAAAUUGAACUCGCUGUGAAGAUGCAGUGUACCCGCGGCAAGACGGAAAGACCCCGUGAACCUUUACUAUAGCUUGACACUGAACAUUGAGCCUUGAUGUGUAGGAUAGGUGGGAGGCUUUGAAGUGUGGACGCCAGUCUGCAUGGAGCCGACCUUGAAAUACCACCCUUUAAUGUUUGAUGUUCUAACGUUGGCCCGUAAUCCGGGUUGCGGACAGUGUCUGGUGGGUAGUUUGACUGGGGCGGUCUCCUCCUAAAGAGUAACGGAGGAGCACGAAGGUUGGCUAAUCCUGGUCGGACAUCAGGAGGUUAGUGCAAUGGCAUAAGCCAGCUUGACUGCGAGCGUGACGGCGCGAGCAGGUGCGAAAGCAGGUCAUAGUGAUCCGGUGGUUCUGAAUGGAAGGGCCAUCGCUCAACGGAUAAAAGGUACUCCGGGGAUAACAGGCUGAUACCGCCCAAGAGUUCAUAUCGACGGCGGUGUUUGGCACCUCGAUGUCGGCUCAUCACAUCCUGGGGCUGAAGUAGGUCCCAAGGGUAUGGCUGUUCGCCAUUUAAAGUGGUACGCGAGCUGGGUUUAGAACGUCGUGAGACAGUUCGGUCCCUAUCUGCCGUGGGCGCUGGAGAACUGAGGGGGGCUGCUCCUAGUACGAGAGGACCGGAGUGGACGCAUCACUGGUGUUCGGGUUGUCAUGCCAAUGGCACUGCCCGGUAGCUAAAUGCGGAAGAGAUAAGUGCUGAAAGCAUCUAAGCACGAAACUUGCCCCGAGAUGAGUUCUCCCUGAGACUUAGAGUCUCCUGAAGGAACGUUGAAGACGACGACGUUGAUAGGCCGGGUGUGUAAGCGCAGCGAUGCGUUGAGCUAACCGGUACUAAUGAACCGUGAGGCUUAACCUUACAACGCCGAAG